Molecule: ribosomal RNA, 605 nt
Filed under: uncultured bacterium
Lineage: Bacteria
Description: bacterial SSU rRNA
Rfam family: Bacterial small subunit ribosomal RNA
Source: RNAcentral
CAAAGGUGAGCCAGUACAGGAUGGACCCGCGUCUGAUUAGCUAGUUGGUAAGGUAACGGCUUACCAAGGCGACGAUCAGUAGCCGACCUGAGAGGGUGAUCGGCCACAUUGGAACUGAGACACGGUCCAAACUCCUACGGGAGGCAGCAGUGGGGAAUAUUGCACAAUGGGCGAAAGCCUGAUGCAGCAACGCCGCGUGAGUGAUGAAGGCCUUCGGGUCGUAAAACCCUGUCCUCAAGGAAGAUAAUGACGGUACUUGAGGAGGAAGCCCCGGCUAACUACGUGCCAGCAGCCGCGGUAAUACGUAGGGGGCUAGCGUUAUCCGGAUUUACUGGGCGUAAAGGGUGCGUAGGCGGUCUUUCAAGUCAGGAGUGAAAGGCUACGGCUCAACCGUAGUAAGCUCUUGAAACUGGGAGACUUGAGUGCAGGAGAGGAGAGUGGAAUUCCUAGUGUAGCGGUGAAAUGCGUAGAUAUUAGGAGGAACACCAGUUGCGAAGGCGGCUCUCUGGACUGUAACUGACGCUGAGGCACGAAAGCGUGGGGAGCAAACAGGAUUAGAUACCCUGGUAGUCCACGCUGUAAACGAUGAGUACUAGGUGUCGGGG